Molecule: long non-coding RNA, 213 nt
Organism: Dermochelys coriacea (leatherback sea turtle)
Lineage: Eukaryota; Metazoa; Chordata; Testudines; Dermochelyidae
Exons: 3
Source: RefSeq, a predicted model, not a curated record
CAAAAAAGACUCCUUCAAAAACUGGAAACUAGAUCAAAUUACAAAAAGGAUGAAUAUAAACAACACAAGUAUGUAGACACAAAAUUAGAAAGGCCAAGGCACAAAACAAGAUCAUACUAGCUGGAGACAUAAAGGAUAACCAGAAAACAUUCUACAAAUACAUUAGAAGCAAGAGGAAGACCAAGGACAGGGUAGGCCUUUUACUUCUUGGGG